UCUCCUCUACUCAUAGGCAUUGCUUGCUUUCUCCUUUCAAAACCUCCUUUCUAAUUUCGCUUUAAGAAGAAGAAAAUAUAUUAUUGCUGAUAACAACAUGUUCAAGAUGACAUUGUGUGCAACUGUUCUUGGUGUCGGAGAUACAUUAAUCGUCAAUAUUACAAUACUCCAAAGCGCAACUGUCAAAGGUGCAGAGUACCAGGUUGGGUCUUCCUCUGUCUCCCGUGGCUGAUUGUCGUCUUCAGCAUAUCAUCGAGUUUCCAGGGUGAGCACGAGCCGUUCGCCGUCUUGAAGACUCCUCUUAUCAUUAUGUCCUACUAUUUCGAUUCUGAGACAUAGACAAACUUAUGUAUUAUUAUAUUCCAGACUUGUAUAUUUUUCAUUAGAUGCUCUUGAAUGAUUUAGAUCA
Molecule: long non-coding RNA, 409 nt
Organism: Lycium barbarum (goji berry)
Lineage: Eukaryota; Viridiplantae; Streptophyta; Magnoliopsida; Solanales; Solanaceae
Exons: 2
Source: RefSeq, a predicted model, not a curated record